AAAAAAUCCCAAGCAAGCAAAAUGAAUGCUACGUUUCUCGGUAACAAAUGGCCACUUAAAAAAGACUCUCCACGUGACCAAGUUCCUUGAUGUGAAAUGCAGUGCCAUUAAAGGUAAUUGUUCCUAAUAUUUUAACUUUUAACCAAAAAGUCAGGCUUGCUUUGGCCGAAAGGUUAAUAAGCAGAAAUCUUGAGUUCACAGUUCAUCAGGACGGAG
RNAcentral lists this long non-coding RNA (216 nucleotides) under Sus scrofa (pig). RNAcentral describes it as "lncRNA (ENSSSCG00005001044.1)". The record is from RNAcentral. Lineage: Eukaryota; Metazoa; Chordata; Mammalia; Artiodactyla; Suidae.